This is a long non-coding RNA of Papaver somniferum (opium poppy), 355 nucleotides long. RefSeq lists it as uncharacterized. The record is from RefSeq and is a predicted model, not a curated record. The transcript is spliced from 3 exons. NCBI's taxonomy places the organism in Eukaryota, Viridiplantae, Streptophyta, Magnoliopsida, Ranunculales, Papaveraceae.
GGUUAAUGGUGCUUUGUAAGCUGAGAAAGAAAGGAAAGAGAAAAUUGAUAGAAUAAUUACCUUUCUUGCUCCUCAUAUAUAAGCUAGCUUAACUACUUUAUGAUCAUAGAGAUGUGCAACAACGUGAUUCAUGCAAAGGUUUUGUUAUACGAUUUUCUAUGUAUGAGGAAAGCAGGAGUUUGAGAUUGUUUUACUUUUCUUUAUCGAGGUGUCUGCAAGUUACAGUGGUUAGUUUGAUUACUUCUACAUUCAUGCACACCCUACUUUGUUCGAUGGCGCGUCUGAUGCUGGAAUGAUCAUGUUUACUGUUUUUGACAUUUCUUGUUAAAUUUGCUGCUUGAUGAUUUAUUUCUCU